This 502-nucleotide long non-coding RNA is filed under the name Olea europaea subsp. europaea. The record is from RNAcentral. Lineage: Eukaryota; Viridiplantae; Streptophyta; Magnoliopsida; Lamiales; Oleaceae.
AGAUUGGAAACAAUCUUUUUUCUUUUCGUCAUCGAUUAACUUUUAACGUUAAAGAUCUCGUUUAAAAGUUUAGAAAUGAGUCACGUUUAGUUAUUUGAUAUUCAACAUGCUGAUAAUUGAAACCUUGUACACGAUAAAAAACAAUCGAUUCGCAAAAAGAAAAUAGACAAACAAAAAUAUGCAAAAUUGAUAAAGAUUUGUCUCAAUAUGAGAUCACAUAAUUUUCUGUCGCCACCGUAUUUCUUACAAGAGAAAAUCCCACACCUUAUCUUCUCUACCCCUCUCUCUCUCUUUCUAAUAAUUGAACAAAAUCCUAAUCAUGGGCGGGGAGUUUCCUUCGUCUUUCCAAUCCCACGACUACUUUACCUUUGAGGUCGAUUUGUGUACUGGCUCCGCACCAUGACAAUAAUUAAACUCUACGACUUAAUGAACACAUCUCUCUCGAUUGCAAGUUCAGUUCAUUUUUUAAUUAGUUACACAAUUGAAAUGUAGUUGUUUCGCG